Molecule: long non-coding RNA, 413 nt
Organism: Cucumis melo (muskmelon)
Lineage: Eukaryota; Viridiplantae; Streptophyta; Magnoliopsida; Cucurbitales; Cucurbitaceae
Exons: 4
Source: RefSeq, a predicted model, not a curated record
AGGUCAUGAUGAGAUUGUUCAGUCCACAUAAAACAACACUAAUGUUUGUCAUACGUGAUAAAACAAGGAUACCAUUGGAAAAUUUAGAGCCUGUUCUUAGAGGAUGUACAUAAGGAAAGGGGAAGGCCUUUAAUAACACUAGAGAGAAGCAUAGAGUGAAGCAAUCGAUUAAGGUGCCCACGAUUAGUAACAAGCUAGCAGAUAUGAUGAUUAUUCAUGGAGGAAAUAUGGCCAAAAGCCAAUCAAGGGUUCUCCAUACCCAAGAUAAUUGAAGUCAUAUCGGGUUAAAAGUUAAGUGAUUGUGCAGAGAUGGCUAAGCGACCGUUGAAAAUUGAAGACUGAGAAGGCGUUUAGGAUUUUUAAUUAUUUAAUUCUUGUAUUAGGAUCUUUUUUCAUGUACUGUUGUAGAAUGU